Molecule: ribosomal RNA, 686 nt
Filed under: Serratia marcescens
Lineage: Bacteria; Pseudomonadati; Pseudomonadota; Gammaproteobacteria; Enterobacterales; Yersiniaceae
Description: partial 23S ribosomal RNA
Rfam family: Bacterial large subunit ribosomal RNA
Source: RNAcentral
GGGUAGUUUGACUGGGGCGGUCUCCUCCCAAAGAGUAACGGAGGAGCACGAAGGUUAGCUAAUCACGGUCGGACAUCGUGAGGUUAGUGCAAAGGCAUAAGCUAGCUUGACUGCGAGAGUGACGGCUCGAGCAGGUACGAAAGUAGGUCUUAGUGAUCCGGUGGUUCUGAAUGGAAGGGCCAUCGCUCAACGGAUAAAAGGUACUCCGGGGAUAACAGGCUGAUACCGCCCAAGAGUUCAUAUCGACGGCGGUGUUUGGCACCUCGAUGUCGGCUCAUCACAUCCUGGGGCUGAAGUAGGUCCCAAGGGUAUGGCUGUUCGCCAUUUAAAGUGGUACGCGAGCUGGGUUUAGAACGUCGUGAGACAGUUCGGUCCCUAUCUGCCGUGGGCGUUGGAAGAUUGAGAGGGGUUGCUCCUAGUACGAGAGGACCGGAGUGAACGCACCACUGGUGUUCGGGUUGUCAUGCCAAUGGCAUUGCCCGGUAGCUAAGUGCGGAAAAGAUAAGCGCUGAAAGCAUCUAAGCGCGAAACUUGCCUCAAGAUGAGUCUUCCCUGGGCCUUCAAGGCCCCUGAAGGAACGUUUAAGACUAAGACGUUGAUAGGCUGGGUGUGUAAGUGCAGCGAUGCAUUGAGCUAACCAGUACUAAUGAUCCGUGAGGCUUAACCUUACAACACCGAAGGUGUUU